GACGAAUGUUGGCGGCGUGCUUAAUACAUGCAAGUCAACUGAAGCAGUGGUAGCAAUAUCGCUGUGGAGGUGGCGCACGGGUGAGUAACACGUAGGUAAUCUGCCUUCAGGUCUGGCAUAACUCCGGGAAACCGGGGCUAAUAGCAGAUGAUGCAGCGGCUCGACAUCGAGACAGUUGUUAAAGCUAUGGCGCCUGAAGAUGAGCCUGCGUCUGAUUAGCUAGUUGGCGGGGUAACGGCCCACCAAGGCAACGAUCAGUAGCUGGUCUGAGAGGAUGAUCAGCCACACUGGAACUGAGACACGGUCCAGACUCCUACGGGAGGCAGCAGUAAGGAAUAUUGCUCAAUGGGAGAAAUCCUGAAGCAGCAACGCCGCGUGAGGGACGAAGGGCUUUUGCUUGUAAACCUCUGUAGUGAGAGAAAAAAAUCCCAAUCUUUGGGACAUGAUGGUAUCUCAAAAGUAAGCCCCGGCUAACUACGUG
Molecule: ribosomal RNA, 481 nt
Filed under: uncultured bacterium
Lineage: Bacteria
Description: partial 16S ribosomal RNA
Rfam family: Bacterial small subunit ribosomal RNA
Source: RNAcentral